UACGUAGGGUGCAAGCGUUGUCCGGAAUUAUUGGGCGUAAAGAGCUCGUAGGCGGUCUGUCGCGUCGGCUGUGAAAACUCGGGGCUCAACUCCGAGCCUGCAGUCGAUACGGGCAGACUAGAGUGCGGUAGGGGAGACUGGAAUUCCUGGUGUAGCGGUGAAAUGCUCAGAUAUCAGGAGGAACACCGGUGGCGAAGGCGGGUCUCUGGGCCGUAACUGACGCUGAGGAGCGAAAGCGUGGGGAGCAAACAGG
Molecule: ribosomal RNA, 253 nt
Filed under: uncultured bacterium
Lineage: Bacteria
Description: partial 16S ribosomal RNA
Rfam family: Bacterial small subunit ribosomal RNA
Source: RNAcentral